RNAcentral lists this ribosomal RNA (205 nucleotides) under uncultured bacterium. RNAcentral describes it as "partial 16S ribosomal RNA". It matches the Rfam family "Bacterial small subunit ribosomal RNA", at positions 524 to 728 of the family's 1533-position model. The record is from RNAcentral.
UACGUAGGGCGCAAGCGUUGUCCGGAAUUAUUGGGCGUAAAGAGCUCGUAGGCGGCUUGUCACGUCGGGUGUGAAAGCCCGGGGCUUAACCCCCGGGUCUGCAUUCGAUACGGGCUGGCUAGAGUGUGGUAGGGGAGAUCGGAAUUCCUGGUGUAGCGGUGAAAUGCGCAGAUAUCAGGAGGAACACCGGUGGCGAAGGCGGUCU